GCUCUCUUCAAAAUCUAAAAACCUCUUCUUGAUCUCUCGCUCGUCCUCUUCUUCUUCUUCACUCAAUCUCUUUCCCUUUCUCGCUCGCUCUCUUCGGAAUUGCGUCUCUCGCUUUCUCUACGCAUAGUCUCUUCUUCUUCUUCGCGCAAGAAUAGAUCUUUAUUCUUCUCGAUCGUUCCUCCUUCUUCGCACAAGAACCAAUCUUUCGUCUCACCAGUUCGGGAUAAUGGCUGAAGCAAGCAGCAGCACACGUGGUGAUGAUGGCGUCUACAGUACUACGAGUAGUAUUGAUUUUUUUGGGGAAAGGAGGAGCAUCCUCCUCCAUAACGGGAAUGGGGUUCAAUCGCUUCUGUCAAUAUGCAAUGCACUCAUGCUCAGAGAAAAAUUAGUUCUUGAUAGCGACUUAACCACCGAAUCGGAAUUGGUCUUGUUUCUUAAAGAGAAACUAAAAGAACUUUGUCCUGAAACGAUGAAAGAUAGCCUCGAUCAUGCAGUUUCCACAACUCAGGAUCUUGCCAAGUAUAACCCAAAGCCAGUGUGGGAUGGGAUUGGCUCAUUCAGGGAAAACACAUGCUCUUCCAUUUUUGAUGUGUUACAGAUUGCUUUGGUCCACGGAUGGAUCAUUACUGAUGAUAAGAACGUAGAACCCAAAUCCUACGAUGAGAUAGAGGUUCCUGGUUCGUCUGAUCUUGAAAACGCUAUGGCCAGUGGAGAUGUUACACUCGAUGGUUUCUCAACUUUGAAAGAAAAAAUUGGGGAACAUCAAAUAUGUGUAGUAGUACACAAAAACCAGCUUCACACUGCCAUGAAGCAUGAAGAAGAACUUUAUCUUCUCAUAAUGGAAAAAGAGUUAAAUAGCAUGGGUAAGGUGUGGAAAAAGUUGAUGAAUGGUUCAAUGGUAGGAGACGAUCUUAAAGAGGAGGUAAGAGAGGGUAUUGCUUUGGAUGCCAUCGGUGAGGCUUCCAUCUACUGUACUUCCAUGGAAUUUAAUUUCCUUGGGGAAUAUAGGACCAUCUUACUCCACAACGGGGAUGGACUAGACUCUCUGAUAUCAAUAUGUAAUGCUCUCAUCUUAAGAGAAAAUAUUAUUCUUGAGGAUGAGUUCACUGACGAGUGGGAAUUGGUUCGGUUUCUAAAUGAGAAAAUACAAGAACUUUGCCCUGAAACGAUGAAAAACAGCCUCCCUGAUGCUAUUUCCAGAGCUCAAGAUCUUAGAGAUUAUCGUCCACCAAAACCACUGUGUAAUAGGAUUGACUCUUUUGGAGACAACAGCUGCUCUUUAAUUUUUGAUGUCCUACAGAUACCUUUGUUCCAUGGAUGGAUCGAAACUGAUAAGAACGUAGAGCCCAAAUGCUGCAAUGAAAUAAAUGCUUCUGGGUCUCCUGAUCUUGAAACGAUUAUGCUGAACAAGGAUGGUGAUUUCACAGACUAUGGUCUCUAUUCUUUAAAAGAAAAAAUUGGGAAUCAUCAAAUAUGUGUCUUAGUAAACAGUAACAAGUUCCACACUGCCAUUAAGCAUAAUGACGAGCUUUAUCUUCUCAUCGUGGACAAAUAUAUACAAAGCUCUGCUAAGGUGUGGGAAAAGGUGAAUGGUGGCAUUGUAGGAGAGGAUUUUAUACAGUCAAGCGAGAGUGAUUUGUAUGAGGAGAGAUACGAUACUGGAGUUGGACUUACAGAAGAAGCAGCAGAAGAACAUUAUGGUUUCGAAGGCUCAAUGGAGGGUAGUUAUUCUCAGUACCAGGAUGAUGUUGGUGACGAUUCUCGAGACUCUAUGGAGACGCAUGUUGGUGGUAGAUACUCACCCACUUCUGUGCUCGAUUUUGGCAGUUCUGACUCCACCUCUGACUCCACAUCUGACUCCACAUCUGACUAAUGCAAAUAUGCUGCAUGGUGUGGUUUGAGCUGCUGCUGUUAGAUAUAUCAAUAUGGUUUAUGUUGUUAAGCUCUGAUUGACAUGAGAAGGGAGCAAGUGAAAUCAGGGAGUUGCAGGCGUUCAACAGGAGCUCCAUAUUUUCUCAAUGUCUUGUAGAUAAACAUAUGUUCUUUUUUUGGGACUCAUUAAUCUGGAAAUCGAAGUGUAUAUCCCUUAGGAAAACAAAGUGUAUCAGCAUUUUACAUUUUUUCUAUCCAAUUCUUGCCAUGGAUUAAAGAAUUUA
Molecule: RNA transcript, 2156 nt
Organism: Camelina sativa (false flax)
Lineage: Eukaryota; Viridiplantae; Streptophyta; Magnoliopsida; Brassicales; Brassicaceae
Source: RefSeq, a predicted model, not a curated record